This 756-nucleotide ribosomal RNA is filed under the name uncultured bacterium. RNAcentral's name for it is "bacterial SSU rRNA". It matches the Rfam family "Bacterial small subunit ribosomal RNA", at positions 8 to 796 of the family's 1533-position model. The record is from RNAcentral.
AGAGUUUGAUCCUGGCUCAGAAUCAACGCUGGCGGCGUGCCUAACACAUGCAAGUCGAACGAGAAAGUGGAGCAAUCCAUGAGUAAAGUGGCGCACGGGUGAGUAACACGUGACUAACCUACCCUUGAGUGGGGGAUAACCUAGGGAAACCUGGGCUAAUACCGCAUAAUACCUACGGGUCAAAGGAGCAAUUCGCUUAAGGAGGGGGUCGCGGCCGAUUAGUUAGUUGGCGGGGUAAUGGCCCACCAAGACAGUGAUCGGUAUCCGGCCUGAGAGGGCGCACGGACACACUGGAACUGAAACACGGUCCAGACUCCUACGGGAGGCAGCAGUGGGGAAUUUUGCGCAAUGGGGGAAACCCUGACGCAGCAACGCCGCGUGGAGGAUGAAGUCUCUUGGGACGUAAACUCCUUUCGAUCGGGACGAUAAUGACGGUACCGAGAGAAGAAGCCCCGGCUAACUUCGUGCCAGCAGCCGCGGUAAUACGAGGGGGGCGAGCGUUGUUCGGAAUUAUUGGGCGUAAAGGGUGCGUAGGCGGUUCGGUAAGUCUUGUGUGAAAUCUUCGGGCUCAACUCGAAGUCUGCACUAGAAACUGCCGGGCUUGAGUGUGGGAGAGGUGAGUGGAAUUUCCGGUGUAGCGGUGAAAUGCGUAGAUAUCGGAAGGAACACCUGUGGCGAAAGCGGCUCACUGGACCACAACUGACGCUGAGGCACGAAAGCUAGGGGAGCAAACAGGAUUAGAUACCCUAGUAGUCC